RNA transcript from Setaria italica (foxtail millet), 3616 nucleotides. RefSeq lists it as uncharacterized. Lineage: Eukaryota; Viridiplantae; Streptophyta; Magnoliopsida; Poales; Poaceae. The record is from RefSeq and is a predicted model, not a curated record. The transcript has 4 exons.
ACGCUAAGGGUGCCCUAAGUCUCUGUUGACGGGCGUGACUCGCCAGUACACGCCCAUACCGUGCCCAUGCCGUUGCCACGCCGCCGGCGUCGCAUCGCCACUGCUCGGCCGUCCUCGCCGUCCUUGCCCACUGCUCGGCGUUGCAUGAACACCAGCUCCCCCACGGCCUUUUCUCCUCGCCAGCGCACGGCCGCCGCUCGCCUCGGCCUUAUCUUCCCAAGCUGCCGUCGCCAAGUCCUUUUCCCUCCCUCUGUUCUUUCUCGCAAGAGCAAGCAAGCAGCUCACCUGCAGCCUCGAUCUCCCUGCUCUGCCAUGGAAUCCAACAACCAGGGCACCAGCUACUCCAAUCAGUCUCCCCUUCCUCUCUAAUCUCUAUCUUUCACACGUCAACCACCAACAGCACAAAUCCAUGGAGGCCAAUACAUUUCCGGUCCUCUGCUCCUCCCUUGCUCGGGCAGAGCAAGCAGAUCAGCGCCCCUCUUUCUUAAGCUCCAUCCCCUUCUCUGAUUCCCUCCACCAAGCAGCAACCGCUGCUCUCCUCUUCAGUGCUGCACGAGCUAGCAGCUCGAGCUCUUCGUGUUUCUGUCCAGCUAACAAGACAGCAGCAGCAGAACACCCAGCGCCGCACAGCCGGCGAGCCCAGCUUGGCCUCUGCCCGGGGAAGUUGCUAACCGGGGCUUCGUCCACGACACCAUGUGACCUGCUACCUCUCCGUCAAGCCGUGGCAGCCAGGACGCCGACUACCCUGCUUGCCAUGACAUUGCCUUCCUCGCCUACAACCCGUUCGACGAAAUGCGCCAGCAGCGUCAUCUCCUAUUCUACACCAAGCUGCACGUGCCCACUUGGUGCUUGGCAUCGCUGCUGACGAUGUGGUGUACAAGAUCGUGGCUGUGGAGCAUCCAAAGGACCCGGCCCAUGGUCCGGAAGGGCCAAAGGCCUUGAAAGUAAUAACACCGUAGUUGAAAGGCCAGCCCCGUGGCAUGACCCCUAUUUCAACUUAUGCAAUUAAUGUUUAACUAUGUAUUUGUGCAUUUUACGUUUCUAGGAGUUGAAUGGAACCAUAGAUGCAUCAUCCAUAGGUUCCCAUAGUUAUACUAGUAUGUGUAGGACGUUAGCUCUGCCAUGCUUAAUAAGUUCGGUAGAAGUCGGGUGAUUUCUUGUCACUCGCAAGACAUAAGAUCCCUGGAUACUUAUUUUGAUACUUUGGACAAAUGGUUCACAUGGUAAAAUGAGAGACCAGGCACAUAUGUGAUUGGUUAAGGAUAUGACAUAUGGAUUGAAAGAGUACCUAUGCCUGUGUCAAUUAAGGCCCAUUCGUUGUUGGUCCUGCUGACCGAGUUCGAACAGUACUAAUCACAUGCUAGGAGUAGGAGGUUGUAAUAUUCCAAAAUUUGUAAUAUUUAUUUGAGUGAAAUUUGCAAAAAUUUAAAACCUUUUGUUUGCAUUGUGUGCUCAUUUGAAAAUGUUAGCCAAUUCUUUCAUCAUCCUAAAAAUUUCAUUUCAAAACUUGUGUGGAAUGAUUUGGAUCUUUUUGAAUUUUUAUUUGGAUCUCACGUUUAAGUGUGAGUUUCAAUUUUGAAUCUAAUUCAAAAUUCAAACUAAAUCUAAAUCUAAAUCUAUAACAAAAUAAAAACCAAACAUAAACCAAUCUAACCUAACCUAUCAUACCAGCCUGCUAACCUAUCUAACCUAACGGCCUGCUAACCCUCGAUUUGGCUCGCACGCGCACACCUCGCCUUCGCUCGCGCCCACCUCCUUCUCUCACUGCCGCCCGACCCCGCCUGUCAGCGCCUCUCCCUAUUCUUCUUCAACCUCCCACCCGUACACCUCACAUGCACGGCGCAUGCAGGGGUGAGUAGAUGGGGGUGCCGCGCUGGAGUGCACUACUCAGUAUGCUGCCGAGAAGGAGUGCACGAGUAGGCGUGGCCGCAGUAGAGGUCGUGGAGGUGGUCGUGGUCGAGGUCGUGGCCAGAAUGACCAAGAAGUGGAGAAUGGACAUGUCAUGUGUGAGAACAAUGGAAAUGCAGAGGUUUCGGAUCAAUCUGCUGCUGGAGCUGUUCCUGCUGCUAGAGCUGUUCCUGUUGCUCCAGCCGCUCAGGGGAUGACAUUUACCAUGUGGACAUUGCUGCAAGUGGAGAUGUUUGAUGGAUCAGGGUUGCUAACAGAUGCUGCCGACUGGUUACGCAAGGUAGAGAAGGUCAUGGAUGGGUGUAGGAUGACUCCUGAGGAUAAGGUCUUCUUUAUACCACACCAGCUGACGAGUCUUGCUGAUUUAUGGUGGGAUGGUGUUCGUGAGGCGUGGCCUCCUGCGCGUGGUGCUAUCACAUGGGAGGUCUUUCUAGAGCAGUUCAGAGCAAGGAAGUAAGAUGGUGGAUGAAUAUGAGAGGGAGUUCACCAACAUUGUUCGCUUUGUGCCCACCGUGGCUAGAGAUGAACGUGAGAAGGCCAGGAAGUUCUUUAGAGGACUUAAUGCAAGGUACAAAGAAGUGAUGGGUGGGAACCCACAGACUACUUAUCUUGCCGCAAUUAAGGAGGCAAGAGGGAUGGAGUUAGAGAUUCAGCUUCCUGCAAUCCAACAGAACCGUACGGGGAGUGUGAGCGGCACAAGUAGUGAUAAGAAGAGAGCUCCUCAGGAUGAAGGAGAGCGAGAAUUUUCUCUGCGACCUCCUUUCAAGAAGUUCAAGCCAAAUAAGUACUCCCAACAAUCUCAUUCGUCCAAGCCUAAACAGUUUGCGGGAUAGUCUUCUUCAUCAUCACGCCCCAUCGGAUUUCAAAUCAUGCGCCCAGUACCAAGACAGGGAUUAAUUUGCUUCAAGUGCGGGAAGCCUCACCAUUCGUCGGAGUGUACCUUUUCUGGACUUUGUCGCACCUGCGGCAAGGAGGGACACAUGGCUAUUGUCUGCAACAGAAAUCCAAAUUCUAUUAUCAAGUGGUAGAGGUCUAAUUCUUCUUUUGUGUCGUCUCCAUCCAGUUCUCGAGGCUCAGUUCUUUCAGCUGGUGCUCCUCAUGGUGCAGUUCAGAUGAUGCCUGCCCAUCCACCAGUCUCACAUUAACAAUAUCCCCAGCACUAUGUAACUCCGCCUACAGGCUACUACUGGAAUCCACCUCAACUACCUGCAUCAUAUGUUCCACCUCAGUUGCCUGCACCAUAUGUUCCAUUUCAGCUACCCGCGCCAUCUUUUGUUCCACCACCACAUCAGGUUGGGGCAGGUUCUACUGCUCCAAACCCCGCUAGAGUCUACACCAUGCCUAAUGCUUCCUCCCUGGGUCAUCCAGACAUAGUCUCAUGUAUAUUUACAGUCGAUUCACAUGAUGCUCUAGUAUUAUUCGAUUCUGGUGCUACGUUCUUGUUUGUUUCACUUGAUUUUGCACAAAGAGUUGGUCUAUCUAGUCAAGAGAUUUCUCAGUCUAUUCAUGUUGGCUCCUUUGGUCUCUAGUUCGGUGGUGUGCCCGAGUUGCACAAUAUCCAUAGAUGGGGAUGAUUUUGUGGCAAAUCUUAUGGUAAUUCCUUGACCCAUAUUUGAUGUUAUUUUGGGCAUGGAUUCGUUGCAUUGUUAUUAGGCGGUAAUAUUUUGUUUCUGGAAGACUAUUUCCUUAAUGGCUCCCUUGCGUCAAA